RNAcentral lists this microRNA precursor (173 nucleotides) under Pelobates cultripes (western spadefoot toad). The record is from RNAcentral. Lineage: Eukaryota; Metazoa; Chordata; Amphibia; Anura; Pelobatidae.
CAGCAGACAAAUUCCAGCCAAUCAGCAGCAGACCCUCCCUCCCAGACCCCAGCACCUCCUGGACAGCAUCCAUUUUACAUUCAUUGUGAAGCUGCAUUCUUAGUGAGCUGUCCAGGAGGUGGGAGGGUGUGGGAGGGAGGGUCUGCUGCUGAUUGGCUGGAAUGUGUCUGCUG